AGCAGUGUAGCCUAGUUGAAAGAGCACGUGUCUGGGAAUCAGGGGACCUGGGUUCUAAUCCCGGUUCCGCCA
Molecule: transfer RNA, 72 nt
Filed under: Ornithorhynchus anatinus (platypus)
Lineage: Eukaryota; Metazoa; Chordata; Mammalia; Monotremata; Ornithorhynchidae
Rfam family: tRNA
About the family: Transfer RNA (tRNA) molecules are approximately 80 nucleotides in length. Their secondary structure includes four short double-helical elements and three loops (D, anti-codon, and T loops).
Source: Rfam by way of RNAcentral